CUUGCACUUGCCCUCACAGCCACAGAUGCUGUGGUCUGUGUCACAAUCACAGGCAGUCACAUCAUUGUAUUUAAUGAUGAGGAUUUGAAACUCCGUACAAGUGCUCUUAAAUGCAGAUGUGAACAAUAGGGACCAAGAAACAUUAGUAGGCACCCUUCUGAUCGUUUACUGAAGACAUAAACCAGUGACACAACUCCAGAAGAUGUAUGUGCCAGUGUAGUGCCACCUGGAAGACAGUCAUUAAACAUACUGCAGAGAGAUGCCUGUAUCUCAGUCAUUUUCUAAGUGUUGCCAAAAAGAUGAAUGAAGGUGUUCUUUCAGACAAGGGCUAUUUAUCCUUUUCAUGUAGCUGUAGAAGAAGAAAUCAGUGGAAGACAGCUACCAUCUGAUGGUGUCAAACUAAGCCUGUACCAGACAGCUCCUCCCUGUCAUGAGGUGUCAUAGAAGAAGGAAACAUAAACUGAUGUUGAUAAAAUCUUUUCUAUGAGAAGCUCUAUCUCCAGUACACAGGCAGCCAAACAGAAGGGAAGACAAUGUGUGCUCCUGUGGUCAUGAAUGUCAGUCCUAAAACACGUGUGCUAUGGAGGAAACCGAGCCAGGCAGGCUCCACUCAAUUUAUUUCUGUUGGCUGACAGACAAAGG
This 642-nucleotide long non-coding RNA is filed under the name Numida meleagris (helmeted guineafowl). RNAcentral describes it as "lncRNA (ENSNMEG00000011180.1)". The record is from RNAcentral. Lineage: Eukaryota; Metazoa; Chordata; Aves; Galliformes; Numididae.